AAGACGCUAGUAAAAUCAUUACACUACCUUGUCGAGGCAGAAUUGUGGGUUGAACCCCCGCGCAUCUUA
This 69-nucleotide transfer RNA is filed under the name Osteogaster aenea (bronze corydoras). RNAcentral's name for it is "Corydoras aeneus tRNA-Asp". It matches the Rfam family "tRNA". From Rfam's summary of the family: Transfer RNA (tRNA) molecules are approximately 80 nucleotides in length. Their secondary structure includes four short double-helical elements and three loops (D, anti-codon, and T loops). Lineage: Eukaryota; Metazoa; Chordata; Actinopteri; Siluriformes; Callichthyidae. The record is from RNAcentral.